RNAcentral lists this microRNA precursor (103 nucleotides) under Marmota monax (woodchuck). The record is from RNAcentral. Lineage: Eukaryota; Metazoa; Chordata; Mammalia; Rodentia; Sciuridae.
AGUGGGAUAGCUGGGUCAAAUGGUGGUUACAUUUUCAGUUUUUCAAGGAAUCUCCAUACUGCUUUCCAGAUUGGCUGCACCAAUUUGGAGUCCCACCAACAAU